AGCACUGUAGGUGUCAGCAGCCGCGGUAAGUACGUAGGGGGCAAGCGUUAUCCGGAUUUACUGGGUGUAAAGGGAGCGUAGACGGCGAAGCAAGUCUGGUGUGAAAACCCGGGGCUCAACCCCGGGCCUGCAUUGGAAACUGUUUUGCUUGAGUGCCGGAGAGGUAAGCGGAAUUCCUAGUGUAGCGGUGAAAUGCGUAGAUAUUAGGAGGAACACCAGUGGCGAAGGCGGCUUACUGGACGGCAACUGACGUUGAGGCUCGAAAGCGUGGGGAGCAAACAGGAUUAGAUACCCUGGUAGUCCACGCGGUAAACGAUGAAUACUAGGUGUUGGUGGGCAAGGCCCAUCGGUGCCGUCGCAAACGCAGUAAGUAUUCCACCUGGGGAUACGUUCGCAAGAAUGAAACUCAAAGG
RNAcentral lists this ribosomal RNA (413 nucleotides) under uncultured bacterium. Its description in RNAcentral is "bacterial SSU rRNA". It matches the Rfam family "Bacterial small subunit ribosomal RNA", at positions 495 to 907 of the family's 1533-position model. The record is from RNAcentral.